Molecule: ribosomal RNA, 324 nt
Filed under: uncultured bacterium
Lineage: Bacteria
Description: bacterial SSU rRNA
Rfam family: Bacterial small subunit ribosomal RNA
Source: RNAcentral
AGAGUUUGAUUCUGGCUCAGGAUGAAUGCUGGCGGCGUGCCUAAUACAUGCAAGUCGAACGAGGUUACUUCGGUAACCGAGUGGCGAACGGGUGAGUAACACGUUGGUAAUCUACCUUUCAGUUGGGGAUACCCGGACGAAAGUCUGGCUAAUACCGUAAUGCGUAAUAGAGUGAAAUUCUUUAUUAUAAAAGGUCCUUCGGGAUCGCUGAUUGAUGAGCCUGCGUCUGAUUAGCUAGUUGGUGAGAUAAUAGCCCACCAAGGCGAGGAUCAGUAGCCGACCUGAGAGGGUGAUCGGCCACAAUGGAACUGAGACACGGUCCAU